RNAcentral lists this transfer RNA (71 nucleotides) under Loxodonta africana (African savanna elephant). It matches the Rfam family "tRNA". From Rfam's summary of the family: Transfer RNA (tRNA) molecules are approximately 80 nucleotides in length. Their secondary structure includes four short double-helical elements and three loops (D, anti-codon, and T loops). The record is from Rfam by way of RNAcentral. Lineage: Eukaryota; Metazoa; Chordata; Mammalia; Proboscidea; Elephantidae.
ACAUUGGUGGUUUGGUGGUAGAAUUCUUACUUUUCAUGUGGGAGACCUGGGUUCAACUCCCAGCCGAUGCA